AUUGAACGCUGGCGGCAUGCUUUACACAUGCAAGUCGAACGGUAACAGGCCUUCGGGUGCUGACGAGUGGCGAACGGGUGAGUAAUGCAUCGGAACGUACCCAGAGGUGGGGGAUAACGCAGCGAAAGCUGUGCUAAUACCGCAUGUGAUCUGAGGAUGAAAGCGGGGGACCGAGCAGCAAUGUUUGGCCUCGCGCCUUUGGAGCGGCCGAUGUCGGAUUAGCUAGUUGGUGGGGUAAAGGCCUACCAAGGGGACGAUCCGUAGCUGGUCUGAGAGGACGACCGGCCAAGUGGGGACUGAGAAACGGCCCCGGCCCCAAGGGGGGGCAGCGGGGGGGAAUUUUGGAAAAGGGGGCGAAGCCUGACCCAGAAAGGCGGGGGGGGGGAAGAAGGCCUUCGGGUUGUAAACCGCUUUUGGCAGGAACGAAACGGUGCCCGCUAAAACCGGGCGCUAAGGGCGGUACCGGAAGAAUAAGCACCGGCUAACUACGU
RNAcentral lists this ribosomal RNA (491 nucleotides) under uncultured bacterium. Its description in RNAcentral is "partial 16S ribosomal RNA". It matches the Rfam family "Bacterial small subunit ribosomal RNA", at positions 29 to 506 of the family's 1533-position model. The record is from RNAcentral.